CGUCGUGAGACAGGUUGGUCCCUAUCUACUGCAGGCGUUGAAUAUUGAGGAGAUUUGUCCCUAGUACGAGAGGACCGGGAUGAACGAACCUCUGGUCUAUCAGCUGUCACGCCCGUGGCAACGCUGAGUAGCUAUGUUCGGAAUGAAUAACCGCUGAAAGCAUCUAAGUGGGAAGUCAACUCCAAGAUUAGUAUUCGUUAAGUCCCCUAAGAGAUUAUUAGGUUGAUAGGCAUUAGAUGUACGCACAGUAAUGUGUUUAGUCGAGAUGUACUAAUCGGACGUAUUUUCCUGCAA
Candidatus Kaiserbacteria bacterium is the source of this 294-nucleotide non-coding RNA. The record is from Rfam. NCBI's taxonomy places the organism in Bacteria, Candidatus Kaiseribacteriota.